CCUCUAAACUAUUCAUUAAAACAGUCAGAUAGAGGUUGAUUCCACCUCCAGUCAUCUUUAGCUACACCUCAGUUUCAGGUUGGGGAACCACUCCAGACCAUCUACCUACGAAGCCCUGGCUCUCUGCUAAAAGGAGAUUUUUCUGUAUGGAGUGCCAACUGCCUCACAUAAAAUCCGGAGUUCUAACCUAGCAGGUGUAGAAAUCAAAAUUGUCUUCUUUUUCCUUCCAUAUUUGUGGUCUAUCCUGCAGGUAUGGCAUUUUUGGGUUGAUAUUUACUAUAUUUUAUAUGUAAUAUAUAUUAUAUAUAUUUUACUAU
This 317-nucleotide long non-coding RNA is filed under the name Vombatus ursinus (common wombat). RNAcentral's name for it is "lncRNA (ENSVURG00010008534.1)". Lineage: Eukaryota; Metazoa; Chordata; Mammalia; Diprotodontia; Vombatidae. The record is from RNAcentral.